GCAUUGAAUAUGUAUCUAGCAUUUGUGAAAAUAUUCCCUUCUUCUUCGCAAUCCGAGUUCAUGCUGAGAUACUGUCUGUUUGCAUGGGGCACACCUGUUGUGAUCGUAGCAAUCACAACGAUAGUUGCAUUGGAUAAAUAUGGCGACACGAAAUCAUAUUGUCGACUGCUGGGCGUACCAUUCAUCGUGGCAAUCGUCACUCCAGCUGUCGUCGUAUUCGUCGGGAACAUCGUGGCUUUCUGUGCAAUCAUACGAUCGGUCCUAGGUUCGUUCAACCACAAAACAACGGGCUACCACAAAGCUCGUCGGGGCAUUGCAA
Dendronephthya gigantea is the source of this 319-nucleotide long non-coding RNA. RefSeq lists it as uncharacterized. The transcript is spliced from 3 exons. The record is from RefSeq and is a predicted model, not a curated record. NCBI's taxonomy places the organism in Eukaryota, Metazoa, Cnidaria, Anthozoa, Malacalcyonacea, Nephtheidae.